UACAGAGGGGGGAAGAGAGAAGAGGAAUUACUGGGCGUAAAGCGCGCGUAGGUGGUUUGGUAAGUCGGAUGUGAAAUCCCCGGGCUCAACCUGGGAACUGCAUUCGAAACUGCCUGGCUAGAGUUUGAGAGAGGGAAGUGGAAUUCCACAUGUAGCGGUGAAAUGCGUAGAUAUGUGGAGGAACAGCAGUGGCGAAGGCGGCUUCCUGGCUUAAAACUGACACUGUGGCGCGAAAGCGUGGGUAGCAAACAGG
Molecule: ribosomal RNA, 253 nt
Filed under: uncultured bacterium
Lineage: Bacteria
Description: partial 16S ribosomal RNA
Rfam family: Bacterial small subunit ribosomal RNA
Source: RNAcentral